CCUACGGGAGGCAGCAGUGAGGAAUAUUGGUCAAUGGGCGGAAGCCUGAACCAGCCAAGUAGCGUGCAGGAUGACGGCCCUACGGGUUGUAAACUGCUUUUAUACGGGAAUAACGCGCCUUAGUUGGAGGGCUUUGCAUGUACCGUAUGAAUAAGGACCGGCUAAUUCCGUGCCAGAAGCGGCGGUAAAAAGGAAGGUCCGGGGGUAAUCCGGAUUUUUUGGGGUUAAAGGGAGCGUAGGCGGCUGGGCAAGCGUGCUGGGAAAUGUCAGGGCUCAACCCGGGCCUUGCAGCGCGGACUGGCGUGCUGGAGGCCGCGGAAGGCAAGCGGAAUUCGUCGUGUAGCGGUGAAAUGCUUAGAUAUGACGAAGAACCCCGAUUGCGAAGGCAGCUUGCUGCAGCGGAACUGACGCUGAUGCUCGAAAGCGCGGGUAUCGAACAGGAUUAGAUACCCCGGUAGUC
Molecule: ribosomal RNA, 460 nt
Filed under: uncultured bacterium
Lineage: Bacteria
Description: partial 16S ribosomal RNA
Rfam family: Bacterial small subunit ribosomal RNA
Source: RNAcentral